UUCUAAGUCCUCAUCCUUUACUCGUUGCUUCUCUUUUUCUUCCAGAAGCCACAACUUCCACAGGAGUCCAUAGAACCACUGUAGUGGGAUGGAAGACAGGGGUAUCAGGUAGCCAAGUCACUAGCAUUCCACUAGGUACUACUGCAGUGGUCUCUGGCAACACCAUCUCACCUAGCAGUUUCAACACAGGUG
This 192-nucleotide long non-coding RNA is filed under the name Cercocebus atys (sooty mangabey). RNAcentral describes it as "lncRNA (ENSCATG00000045643.1)". Lineage: Eukaryota; Metazoa; Chordata; Mammalia; Primates; Cercopithecidae. The record is from RNAcentral.